RNAcentral lists this transfer RNA (76 nucleotides) under Acinetobacter sp. TGL-Y2. RNAcentral's name for it is "tRNA-Val". It matches the Rfam family "tRNA". From Rfam's summary of the family: Transfer RNA (tRNA) molecules are approximately 80 nucleotides in length. Their secondary structure includes four short double-helical elements and three loops (D, anti-codon, and T loops). Further hydrogen bonds mediate the characteristic L-shaped molecular structure. tRNAs have two regions of fundamental functional importance: the anti-codon, which is responsible for specific mRNA codon recognition, and the 3' end, to which the tRNAs corresponding amino acid is attached (by aminoacyl-tRNA synthetases). tRNAs cope with the degeneracy of the genetic code in two manners: having more than one tRNA (with a specific anti-codon) for a particular amino acid; and 'wobble' base-pairing, i.e. permitting non-standard base-pairing at the 3rd anti-codon position. The record is from RNAcentral. Lineage: Bacteria; Pseudomonadati; Pseudomonadota; Gammaproteobacteria; Moraxellales; Moraxellaceae.
GGGCGCUUAGCUCAGUUGGUAGAGCGCCUGCCUUACAAGCAGGAUGUCGGCGGUUCGACCCCGUCAGCGCCCACCA